UGAAUACGAGACGCUAAGGCGUCGAAGUAGUGUAUGUCAUACUUCCAAGAAAAGCUUGCACUGUCAUAGAUAAAAAACGCCUGUACCAUAACCGACACAGGUGGGUAGGUAGAGUAUACUAAGGGGCGCGAGAUAACUCUCUCUAAGGAACUCGGCAAAAUAACUCCGUAACUUCGGGAGAAGGAGUGCCUUAUUCGUAAGGUUGCAAUAACAAGAUCCAAGCAACUGUUUAUCAAAAACACAGGUCUCCGCUAAGUCGUAAGACGAUGUAUGGGGGCUGACGCCUGCCCAGUGCCAGAAGGUUAAAGAAGUUGGUUAGCAAUUGCGAAGCUGAUAACUGAAGCCCUGGUGAACGGCGGCCGUAACAAUAACGGUCCUAAGGUAGCGAAAUUCCUUGUCGGGUAAGUUCCGACCCGCACGAAAGGCGUAAUGAUUUGGAUACUGUCUCGGAGAGGGGCUCGGUGAAAUAGACUUGUCUGUGAAGAUGCGGACUACCUGCACCAGGACAGAAAGACCCUAUGAAGCUUUACUGUAACUUGAAAUUGAAAUUGGACUUUAUUCGCGCAGUAUAGGUGGGAGGCGUUGAUUAUAAUCUUGUGGGAUUAUUGGAGCCAUCAGUGAGAUACCACUCUUGUAAUGUUAGAUUUCUAACUUUGAAUCAUUAUCUGGUCAAAGAACAGUUUCAGGCGGGCAGUUGACUGGGGCGGUCGCCUCCUAAACGGUAACGGAGGCGUACAAAGGUUUCCUCUGAACGGUUAGAAAUCGUAUCUAGAGUGUAAAGGCAUAAGGAAGCUUGACUGUGAGACCUACAAGUCGAGCAGGGUCGAAAGUCGGUCUUAGUGAUCUGACGGUACUGAGUGGAAAGGCCGUCACUCAACGGAUAAAAGUUACUCUAAGGAUAACAGGCUGAUCUCCCCCAAGAGUUCACAUCGACGGGGAGGUUUGGCACCUCGAUGUCGGCUCAUCGCAUCCUGGGGCGGUAGUACGUCCCAAGGGUUGGGCUGUUCGCCCAUGAAAGCGGUACGCGAGCUGGGUUCAGAACGUCGUGAGACAGUUCGGUCCAUAUCCGGUGUAGGCGUUAGAAUAUUGAGAGGAGCCUUCUUUAGUACGAGAGGACCGAGAAGGACAUACCUCUGGUGUACCAGUUAUCGUGCCAACGGUAAACGCUGGGUAGCUAUGUAUGGAGUGGAUAACCGCUGAAAGCAUCUAAGUGGGAAGCCCACCUCAAGAUAAGUAUUCC
RNAcentral lists this ribosomal RNA (1240 nucleotides) under metagenome. RNAcentral's name for it is "bacterial LSU rRNA". It matches the Rfam family "Bacterial large subunit ribosomal RNA", at positions 1564 to 2814 of the family's 2925-position model. The record is from RNAcentral.